GCCUUCGUGGUAAUGGUCAACACACUGAGCCGGUAUUUCAGAGGUCCGUGGUUCGAUUCCCGGCGAAGGAA
Molecule: transfer RNA, 71 nt
Filed under: Stegodyphus mimosarum
Lineage: Eukaryota; Metazoa; Arthropoda; Arachnida; Araneae; Eresidae
Rfam family: tRNA
About the family: Transfer RNA (tRNA) molecules are approximately 80 nucleotides in length.
Source: Rfam by way of RNAcentral